Diabrotica virgifera virgifera (western corn rootworm) is the source of this 2094-nucleotide long non-coding RNA. RefSeq lists it as uncharacterized. Lineage: Eukaryota; Metazoa; Arthropoda; Insecta; Coleoptera; Chrysomelidae. The transcript has 3 exons. The record is from RefSeq and is a predicted model, not a curated record.
UGCAAAUUUUCAGAGUAUAGACGUAAGAAGAAGAGAUGUUCUCAAAUUCCCAACAGACUACUAAAUUCCACACGGACGUUUACGGGGAUUGGUCGUUAUCAUCUGAUUUUGACAUAUAUAUGGAUUUUGAUGAAUUUUUGUGGUUAUGUAUAUUAAGUAUAUUUUUUGUCUGUCUGAUUGACACUUUCUUGUUUUUGAAAAAUUUGUUCAAGAAUGGAAAUAUGCAGACGUGGAAAGAUAUGCAGAAAAUUGAGACAAGUUAUGUAAGGUCUAGAACAGUUCACACAAAGAAACAAGAUGAUUUAUACUAUGAGUAUGGGUAGUUUUUAAUCAAUGUCAUGCUAUGAGUGUAACAGAAGUAACAUAAUAAUAUGCAAGGAAUAUAGAUGCUAGGAGAGUAUAUUAUAUUUAUUGAUGUGGAUAUAAGCCCAACUAUAAAGUUAGGACAGAGAAACCUGUUCUAUUAAUUGUCCCUCCAGACUGAUUUGCAAACUGAGAGAUCAAGGACAGGUUUCUGUCAGUUAUGUAUUGGAAAACACAUGCUGGACAUAAAGAAUUAAGAACCAUGCAUAUGUCAAAAAUAGAAGAAAAAAUUGUUGUAGAGAAAUUAUGACUGAGGUGCCACCCAGUAGAAUUUUAUAAGAUUCAAGAAUGUGUAGAUACAUGAGCAAUUUCAGAUGAUGCUGCAAGGUGUUUGGGAGAAAAUAAAAAGAAACUGAGUAAACAUUGAAUUUGAUAUUAAGAUAGUUUUUUAGCUCACAAAUAUUUUUUGUUUUGUAUCUGUAUUAAAUUUUUAUUAUACAGUAGGUACUUAGCACCCCAAUUAUCCGUACUCCUUGGGACCGGAUUGUGGCACGGGUAAUUGAAAAGCACAGAUAAUCCGAUCAUUAAUUUCUUAUAUAUGAUUCAUAUAAGAAUAUUUCAUAAGAAUUUCUUAUACAUGAUAUGUACUUACAGCUGGUUCCAAAAAAAACUGAUACGACUCUUAAAGCGUAUUUUGUAGAAAAUUGAGCAGUGUACUUUCUUCUUCUUCUUUUUGUUUUUGGUCUCGCUGCAAGGCAAUUACCAGCACGAUUUAUUAUAGGCGACCUUGAUGUAGUGUGGCUCUAAGCCAUAUCAAAAUCGCUAACUAUGUUCUUGUAAAAAGCUUUUGAUGGGGUGUGAUAUAAUGAAUAUGAGUUUUAUUAUAUUUUGAAGGAUAAAUACUUAUUAUUUACAUACUGUCACUGUUACUGCCAAAUCUUAAAAUUGGUCAGAUAACUUCAACCUCAAAAAAUGGCUGUUUGUUUGUUUAUUUUAUUAUUUGUCUGUCAUAAUAAAUAUAAUAUGUCAGACCAGUCAUACACUGCUCAAAAUGAUCAAAUCUUACUAAGAGUCGUAUCAGUUUUUUUAGGAACCAGCUGUACCUAUCAUAAAAAGAUAACAGAAAACAUAAAUCUUUCAUUAUGAGUCUCCUUUUCUGCAUAUAGAGUUUCUGUCGAGUGAUUAAAAUGACGCUAUUUUGAUAAAACCUCAAAAAUUCAAUUUGAGUAAUAGAAAAUCAUAGCCCAGAUAAUCCACAGUCCGGAUAAUCUGCACACGGAUCGGGGUUCUACUGUAGUUGUAUAGGCUAAUUUACAAGGAUGUUAGUUUGUUUUUAUAUAUUUUACUUGAUUCAUAAUAUUGUGAAAUUUUUUAUAAGAUUAUAUUUACAUAUCGUCGCCUCAAAGCAACAGUAGGAUAUGUACAUAUCCUACUGUUGCACUAGUGCACCGAUCAACCAGUUAAGUCAUAAGGGACCGUUGCGAUGUGUAUGGUAUAUACGCAUAUACAGUGCACUAGUGCAAUAGUAGGAUAUGUACAUAUCCUACUGUUGCUUUGAGGCGACGAUAUGUAUGCAUACUUAAUUUAGGUCUGAAUUUUAAAGAAUUGUUAAGUAAUGAUGUUAUUUUAUAGACAGCAUUAUAAUAUACUAGAGUUGUACUUUUAAAAUCAAAAUAUACUGGGUCCCAGGCGGGGUUUAAAGGGGUUUUACCUUCACCAUUGCACCAAUAAGAGCCUCCCCUCCUUUGAUUUCCCAGAUUUUUAAUAAAGAAUAAAAAAUUUGAAACAUUA